UACGUAGGUGGCAAGCGUUAUCCGGAUUUACUGGGUGUAAAGGGCGUGUAGGCGGGACUGCAAGUCAGAUGUGAAAACCACGGGCUCAACCUGUGGCCUGCAUUUGAAACUGUAGUUCUUGAGUACUGGAGAGGCAGACGGAAUUCCUAGUGUAGCGGUGAAAUGCGUAGAUAUUAGGAGGAACACCGGUGGCGAAGGCGGCUUACUGGACAGAAACUGACACUGAGGCUCGAAAGCGUGGGGAGCAAACAGG
This 253-nucleotide ribosomal RNA is filed under the name uncultured bacterium. Its description in RNAcentral is "partial 16S ribosomal RNA". It matches the Rfam family "Bacterial small subunit ribosomal RNA", at positions 524 to 776 of the family's 1533-position model. The record is from RNAcentral.